Long non-coding RNA from Cyprinus carpio (common carp), 2745 nucleotides. Lineage: Eukaryota; Metazoa; Chordata; Actinopteri; Cypriniformes; Cyprinidae. The record is from Ensembl.
CUUGGUGUUGUGUUCUGUGUGUUUUGUUGUGUGUGUGGUGUUGUGUUCUGUGUUGUGUGUGUUCUGUGUGUUGUGUUGUGUGUGUGGUGUUGUGUGUUUUGUUGCGUGUGUGGUGUUGUGUUUUGUGUUGUGUGUGUUUUUGUGUUCUGUGUGUGGUGUUGUGUUUUGUGUUGUGUGCGUGGUGUGGUGUUGUGUUCUGUGUGUUCUCUUUUGUGUGUUGUGUGUGUUGUGUGCGUGGUGUGGUGUUGUGUUCUGUGGUGGUGUGUUCUGUGUGGUGUUGUGUUCUGUGGGUGGUGUUGUGUGUGUUCUGUGUGGUGUUGUGUUCUGUGUUGUGUGUGUGGUGUUGUGUUCUGUGUGUUGUGGUCUGUGUGUGUUCUGUGUGUUGUGUGUGUGGUGUUGUGUGUGUUUUGUUGCGUGUGUGUUGUUGUGUUCUGUGUGUGGUGUGGUGUUGUGUGUGUGUGGUGUUGUGUUCUGUGUGUGGUGUUGUGUUCUGUGUGGUGUUGUGUUUUGUGUGUGUAUGUUGUGUUGUGUGUGUGGUGUGUUCUGUGUGUUGUUGUGUUCUGUGUGUGUGGUGUUCUGUGUGUUGUGUUUUGUGUUGUGUGUGUGUAUGUGUGUUGUUGUGUUCUGUGUUGUGUGUGUGUUCUGUGUUGUGUGUGUGGUGUUGUGUUCUGUGUGUGCGUGUGUGUGUGGUGGUGUGUUCUGUGUGUUGUGUGUGUGGUGUUGUGUUCUGUGUGUGUGUGUGGUGUGUUUUGUGUGUAUGUGGUGUGUUCUGUGUGUUGUUGUGUUCUGUGUGUGUGGUGUUGUGUUUUGUGUGUGUGGUGUUGUGAUCUGUGGUGUUGUGUGUGUGGGGUUGUGUUGUGUGUGUGUGGGGGUGUGAUCUGUGGUGUUGUGUGUGGGGUGUUGUGUUUUGUGUGUGUGGUGUUGUGUUCUGUGGUGUUGUGUGCGUGGUGUUGUGUUUUGUGUGUGUGGUGUUGUGUUUUGUGUGUGUGGUGUUGUGAUCUGUGGUGUUGUGUGUGUGGUGUUGUGUUUUGUGUGUGUGUGUGUGUGCGUGUGUGCAUUGUGUGGUGUUCUGUGUUGUGUUCUGUGUGGUGUUGUGGUCUCUGUGUUGUGUGUGUGGUGUGGUGUUGUGUGUGUGUUCUGUGUGGUGCUGUGUUCUGUGUGGUGUUGUGUUGUGUGUGGUGUUGUGUUUUGUGUGUUGUUGUGUUGUGUGUGUGGUGUUGUGUGUGUGGUGUGGUGUUGUGUUCUGUGUUGUGUGUGUGUUGUGUUGUGUGGUGGUGGUGUGUUCUGUGUGUUGUGUUGUGUUGUGUGUGGUGUUGUGUUCUGUGCUGUGUGUGUGUGUGUGGUGUGUUCUGUGUGUUGUGUUGUGUUCUCUGUGUGCGUGGUGUUGUGUUUUGUGUUGUGUGUGUUGUGUUCUGUGUUGUGUUGUGUUGUGUGUGUGUGUGUGUGGUGUUGUGUUCUGUGGUGUUGUGUGUGUUGUUGUGUCUGUGUGGUGUUCUGUGUGUGUGUGUAUUUGUGAGUGUUGUGCUCUGUGUUGUGUUUGUGUUGUGUUGUAUGUGUGGUGUUGUGUUCUGUAUUGUUUGUGGUGUUGUGUUCUGUUCUGUGUGUAUGGUGUUAUGUUGUGUUCUCUGUGUUGUGUUGUGUGUGUGGUGUUAUGUUCUGUGUGGUGUUGUGUUCUGUGUGUUGUGUUCUGUGUGUUUUCUUUGUGGUGUUGUGUGUUCUGUGUGUGUGUGUGGUGUUGUGUUCUGUGUGUUUUGUUUGCGUGUGUGGUGGUGGUGUUUUGUGUUGUGUGUGGUGUUGUGUGUGUGUGUGUGUUGUGUUCUGUGGUGUUGUGUGUGUGGUGUUGUGUUCUGUGGUGUUGUCUGUGUGGUGUUGUGUUCUGUGUAUUGUGUUGUGUGUGUGGUGUUGUGUUUUAUGUGUGUGGUGUUGUGUUCUGUGGUGUUGUGUGUGUUCUGUGUGGUGUUGUGUGUGUGGUGUUGUGUUCUGUGUGUUGUGUUGUGUGUGUGUGGUGUUGUGUUCUGUGUUGUGUUUUAUGUGUGUGGUGUUGUGUUCUGUGUUGUGUGUGUUCUGUGUGUUGUGUUGUGUUUUAUGUGUGUGGUGUUGUGUUCUGUUGUGUGUGUGGUGUUGUGUUCUGUGUGUUUUGUUGCGUGUGUGGUGUUUUGUGUGUGUGUUGUUGUGUGUGUGGUGUUGUGUGUGUUGUGUUGUGUGUGUGGUGUUGUGUUCUGUGUGUUCUUUGUGUUGUGUUUUGUGUGUGGUGUUGUGUUCUGUGGUGUUGUGUGUGUGGUGUUGUGUUUUGUGUGUGGUGUUGUGUUCUGUGGUGUUGUGUGUGGUGUUGUGUUCUGUGUGUGGUGUUGUGUGUGUGGUGUUGUGUUCUGUGUGUGGGGUUGUGUUUUGUGUGGUGUUGUGUUUUGUGUGUGGUGUUGUGUUCUGUGGUGUUGUGUGUGUUCUGUGUGGUGUUGUGUUCUGUGUGUGUGUGGUGUUGUGUUCUGUUGUGUGUGUGUGUUCUGUGUGGUGUUGUGUUCUGUGUGUGGUGUUGUGUUUUAUGUGUGUGGUGUUGUGUUCUGUGUGUUGUGUUCAGUGUGUGUGUUGUUGUGUUCUGUGUUGUGUGUGUGGUGUUGUGUGUGUGUUGUUGUGUUCUGUGUUGUGUGUGGUGUUGUGUUGUGUUCCAUGUGGUGUUGUGUUCUGUGUUGUGGUGUUCUGUGUGUGUCUUGUGUUCUGUGUGGUGUUAUGUUCUGUUGUGUUUUGUAG